This 766-nucleotide long non-coding RNA is filed under the name Felis catus (domestic cat). RNAcentral's name for it is "lncRNA (ENSFCAG00000040280.2)". The record is from RNAcentral. Lineage: Eukaryota; Metazoa; Chordata; Mammalia; Carnivora; Felidae.
CCCCAUAAUUUACAGAUUGGGGCUGAUAAGAUAGAAAUCUGCUAAUUUCUACCAUUCCAGGAAUUUCUGCUACUGGCAGGUGAUCCACAAACCACCAGAGAUGAACUUAAAUAGCCCCAGAUACGUUCAGUUGAAUUUGCAAAUAUAAAUAAAAUUUGUUUCACAUACCACAAACGCAAUAAUGAUGCAAUUAAUCAAAUAUGACGUUAUUUUCUAGGACUCUAACCACAAGGGAAUAUCGGUGAGAAGAAAAUCAGAAAUGCAAACUCCAGCUCCAGAGGAGAGACCCGUACUUUUGUCUUCAUGUGAGAUGCUGUUUAUUACUUUCAUCCUGGUAACAUGGUAAUCCUAAAACUUCAAGAAAUAUUCUCCAAAAUGAUGAAUAUGUCUGGAAUUACCCCAGAUGUCAGCAACAAAUACCAGCUGAAGAUCCUGAAAAAGACCAAGCCAAACAAAUACUGCAGCAGACACGGAACACCCACUCUGCAGCAGACUGAAAACCAGUCAUCAUUUGUAUCAUCAGAACGAGAAACCAAGAAUGAGUCACAGACAAGAGGAAAUGAAGACAAUUGUAGCACAGUUUAUAUGUCAGAUUUGUGGUGCCAAGUCCUUUACAAGCCUUUUACAUGUGUUCUGGUAUUUUGCUAAUGUAGCUACAAUAUCUCCAGGGCCUUAACAUCCUUUCUUUCGUCUCUCAAAUGACCUAUAAAAGAUGGUUAGAAGAACAUAGAAUAAAAAAAGAAAAUGACCAGAGGGGUUUUCUGGU